UUAGUUUGUUUGAAAGCCUAUAAAUAGUUCUGAAGUGUUUGUCACAAAUACACAACACAUAAGAGCUGUUGUGCUCUGCACACUACCACACACACGAAUAAAUAUUAGCUUAUCUUUGUAAUAGAUAUAUUUUUUGGAGCUAGGAUUUUGAGUGAGUGUAGUGGUAGCUCUUGUAGCCAACCUUCGGGUUUGGAUUUAUAGCACCCUUCGAGGUAUUCAUCAAUAUACAGAUAUACCUUGGAAAAUAUUGUGUGUUGGUUUAAUAUUUUCAUAUCCUCAGAAACCGACCCAAUAAAUAUCCGGAACACGAAACCCAUUACAGGACUGCAAUUUAUUUAUCCGCAAGAUUCGAAAGAAUUUUAAAUUGUAGUGAGUAUCGUAUUCAACCCCCUCUUCUACGAUACUUUGGACCUAACAAUUGGUAUCAGAGCCAGGCUGAUUGAUAUACAAAUCAGGAUCCUUAUCGUACGGAAAAUCAAGAACCUAGCUUUCGAUAUUUGAUUAGGGGAAAUGUUCUUCCGGUUUGUGUUGCUGAAUUUGUC
RNAcentral lists this long non-coding RNA (542 nucleotides) under Daucus carota (carrot). RNAcentral describes it as "long non-coding RNA (DCAR_LNC001123)". The record is from RNAcentral. Lineage: Eukaryota; Viridiplantae; Streptophyta; Magnoliopsida; Apiales; Apiaceae.